Molecule: long non-coding RNA, 544 nt
Filed under: Medicago truncatula (barrel medic)
Lineage: Eukaryota; Viridiplantae; Streptophyta; Magnoliopsida; Fabales; Fabaceae
Description: lncRNA gene39314
Source: RNAcentral
AUGAUUACAACAACACUUCUACCUCUUAGAAGAAUACUUGUUCUGUCAGACCUCCAUCCUUUAAUGGAGAUGUUGCUUAAUUCUCAUGGUGGAAGAGUAAGUUGUACAAUCACAACAUAGGAGUUAAUGAUGAAUUGUGGGACAUCAUUGAAGAUGAUGUUGGAUUUAUUGUUAUUCUGAAGGUACGGUAGUGGAAAGAAAGAGUCUCAUUGAGGCUUAGAGGAAGAUCUACAUAAAACAUCAUAGAGUGCGUUGUGUUUUGGUUGAAGCUUUGCCUCACUCAAAGUAUACCAAAAUAGUUGAUAAAUUCACUGUUAAAGUCAGAUUUGAGUUACUGUGUUCUAUUUAUUAAGGAAACCAGUAAGUUAAGGAGGCUAAAUAUAACCUCUUGGUGCAACAGUAUGAACGACGGAUGAUGAAGACAUUGAAACAACGUUUUCAAGGUUUCAGACUCUGGUGUCUGGCCUUCAGGUUUUGAACAAGAAUUAUACUACUUCUGAUCAUGUUGUUGUUUUCCUUCAAUUCCUAAUUUAGUCAAUUUUCU